AGUGAACGCUGGCGGCGUGCCUAAUACAUGCAAGUCGAACGGAGUGGCGCACGGGUGAGUAAUAUAUAGCUAAUCUGCCCCUUGCUGGAGGACAACAGUUAGAAAUGACUGCUAAUACUCCAUAGCAAGGGAUGAGACUAUAUCGUAUCAGCUGUUCGGUGGGGUAACGGCCUACCGAGGCUAUGACGCGUAACUGGUCUGAGAGGAUGAUCAGUCAGAGGGGAAAUGAGACAAGGUACAAACGCCUAAGGGAGGCAGUAGGAGGGAAUGUUGAGCAAUGGGGGAAACCCUGACGCAGCAAUGUCGCGUGGAGGAUGAUACUUUUCGGAGCGUAAACUCCUUUUGUUAGGGAAGCGGGAACUAACGAAUAAGCACGGGCUAACUCCGUGCCAGAAGCCGCGGUAAUUC
Molecule: ribosomal RNA, 408 nt
Filed under: uncultured bacterium
Lineage: Bacteria
Description: partial 16S ribosomal RNA
Rfam family: Bacterial small subunit ribosomal RNA
Source: RNAcentral